RNAcentral lists this ribosomal RNA (220 nucleotides) under uncultured bacterium. Its description in RNAcentral is "partial 16S ribosomal RNA". It matches the Rfam family "Bacterial small subunit ribosomal RNA", at positions 57 to 305 of the family's 1533-position model. The record is from RNAcentral.
GCAAGUCGAGCGCACCCUUCGGGGCGAGCGGCGGACGGGUUAGUAACGCGUGGGAACUUGCCCUUCUCUACGGAAUAGCCUCGGGAAACUGAGAGUAAUACCGCAUACGCCAUUUUGGGGAAAGAUUUAUCGGAGAAGGAUCGGCCCGCGUUAGAUUAGAUAGUUGGUGGGGUAAUGGCCUACCAAGGCUACGAUCUAUAGCUGGUUUGAGAGGAUGAUC